Molecule: ribosomal RNA, 331 nt
Filed under: uncultured bacterium
Lineage: Bacteria
Description: partial 16S ribosomal RNA
Rfam family: Bacterial small subunit ribosomal RNA
Source: RNAcentral
CCUACGGGCGACAGCAGUGAGGAAUAUUGGUCAAUGGACGCAAGUCUGAACCAGCCAUGCCGCGUGCAGGAUGACGGCCCUAUGAGUUGUAAACUGCUUUUGUAAAAGGAUAAACUGAGACACGUGUAUCUGUCUGUAUGUAUUUUACGAAUAAGGCUCGGCUAACUCCGUGCCAGCAGCCGCGGUAAUACGGAGGAUCCAAGCGUUAUCCGGAUUUAUUGGGUUUAAAGGGAGCGUAGAUGGGUUGUUAAGUCAGAUGUGAAAGUUUGGGGCUCAACUGUGGAAUUGCAUCUGAUACUGGCAGCCUAGAGAGUAGUUGCGGUAGGCGGAA